GCCGGCGUAGCUCAGUGGUAGAGCAUCGCACUCAUAAAGCGGAGGUCGCAGGUCCGAUCCCUGCCGCCGGCACUA
RNAcentral lists this transfer RNA (75 nucleotides) under Candidatus Kaiserbacteria bacterium RIFCSPHIGHO2_12_FULL_53_13. RNAcentral describes it as "tRNA-Met". It matches the Rfam family "tRNA". From Rfam's summary of the family: Transfer RNA (tRNA) molecules are approximately 80 nucleotides in length. The record is from RNAcentral. Lineage: Bacteria; Candidatus Kaiseribacteriota. RNAcentral also lists the same sequence under 1 other name.